ACGACCACCUCAAGCCGGAAAGUUGGUCAAACUCGGUCAUUUAGAGGAAGUAAAAGUCGUAACAAGGUUUCCGUAGGUGAACCUGCGGAAGGAUCAUUAUCCAUCUCAACCAGGUGCGGUCGCGGCCCUCGGGGGUUCUCUCCCGGGUGGUAGGGGUAACACCCUCACGCGCCGCAUUCCUGCAUCCUUUUUUUACGAGCACCUUUCGUUCUCCUUCGGCGGGGCAACCUGCCGCUGGAACUUAACAAAAACCUUUUUUGCAUCUAGCAUUACCUGUUCUGAUACAAACAAUCGUUACAACUUUCAACAAUGGAUCUCUUGGCUCUGGCAUCGAUGAAGAACGCAGCGAAAUGCGAUAAGUAGUGUGAAUUGCAGAAUUCAGUGAAUCAUCGAAUCUUUGAACGCACAUUGCGCCCCUUGGUAUUCCAUGGGGCAUGCCUGUUCGAGCGUCAUCUACACCCUCAAGCUCUGCUUGGUGUUGGGCGUCUGUCCCGCCUUCGCGCGCGGACUCGCCCCAAAUUCAUUGGCAGCGGUCCUUGCCUCCUCUCGCGCAGCACAAUUGCGUCUGCGGGGGGGCGUGGCCCGCGUCCACGAAGCAACAUUACCGUCUUUGACCUCGGAUCAGGUAGGGAUACCCGCUGAACUUAAGCAUAUCAAUAAGCGGAGGAAAAGAAACCAACAGGGAUUGCCCUAGUAACGGCGAGUGAAGCGGCAACAGCUCAAAUUUGAAAUCUGGCUCUCUUUGGGGGUCCGAGUUGUAAUUUGCAGAGGAUGCUUUGGCAUUGGCGGCGGUCUAAGUUCCUUGGAACA
This 810-nucleotide ribosomal RNA is filed under the name Paraconiothyrium sp. BRO-2013. RNAcentral's name for it is "eukaryotic LSU rRNA". The stretch from base 299 to 452 matches the Rfam family "5.8S ribosomal RNA". The record is from RNAcentral. Lineage: Eukaryota; Fungi; Ascomycota; Dothideomycetes; Pleosporales; Didymosphaeriaceae.